AGGGAUCUCAUCAAAGUUUGCUUGUGUUCUGUCUCCGCGACCUUUGACAUCUACUGGUAGAUCCCACCUCCCACGUGGAGUUUUACAUCUUCUGGGCUCUUCAAUGUUCAUCAAAAGCCUCAUUCAGGUUGCUGCAGAAACACUCCUGAGUCAUGACGGAUCACAACACAGCAGUGUUGGGACACGACUCACCGGCAAGUCCAGUCUCAUCGUUUCAGGCUUGCUCUCCCACGUUUAGAAGCUGUGAAACAAAGCAAGCGCACUACUGCCGUGCUGUCAGUCAUCUGCUAUUGCGUAACUGAGUGCUGAACUGGAGCCGUGUCUCCAAAAAUGGAAACAGCAAAUGAGUCUGAAGCGGGAGCUCCACUGUCCCUCGCAGACUUGAGGAAGUGCCACCGUUUGUCUGGUCUUCUACUCGCAGCUUGUAAGCAAGU
This is a long non-coding RNA of Synchiropus splendidus (mandarinfish), 434 nucleotides long. RefSeq lists it as uncharacterized. The transcript is spliced from 3 exons. The record is from RefSeq and is a predicted model, not a curated record. Lineage: Eukaryota; Metazoa; Chordata; Actinopteri; Syngnathiformes; Callionymidae.